This 38-nucleotide ribosomal RNA is filed under the name Russula rubra. RNAcentral describes it as "partial 28S ribosomal RNA". Lineage: Eukaryota; Fungi; Basidiomycota; Agaricomycetes; Russulales; Russulaceae. The record is from RNAcentral.
UUGACCUCAAAUCGGGUGAGAAUACCCGCUGAACUUAA